Molecule: ribosomal RNA, 443 nt
Filed under: uncultured bacterium
Lineage: Bacteria
Description: partial 16S ribosomal RNA
Rfam family: Bacterial small subunit ribosomal RNA
Source: RNAcentral
CCUACGGGCGGCAGCAGUGGGGAAUAUUGGGCAAUGGAGGAAACUCUGACCCAGCAACGCCGCGUGAAUGAUGAAGGUCUUCGGAUUGUAAAGUUCUUUUCUAAGGGAAGAAGAAAGUGACGGUACCUUAGGAAUAAGCCUCGGCUAACUACGUGCCAGCAGCCGCGGUAAUACGUAGGAGGCAAGCGUUAUCCGGAAUGACUGGGCGUAAAGGGUGCGUAGGUGGUUUGACAAGUUGGUAGCGUAACUCCGAGGCUCAACCUCGGCACUACUACCAAAACUGUUGGACUUGAGUGCAGGAGGGGCAAAUGGAAUUCCUAGUGUAGCGGUGGAAUGCGUAGAUAUUAGGAGGAACACCAGUGGCGAAGGCGAUUUGCUGGACUGUAACCGACACUGAGGCACGAAAGCGUGGGGAGCAAACAGGAUUAGAUACCCUAGUAGUC